UGUAGUGAUUAUAGAAGCGUCUUCCCAGCAAGCAUCGGAUCUGUCUUUCCCCUCACUUUGGACGAGUAACUGGCGCACCGUUUCUCCAUCUCUCAAGAGUUCUAUCCAGAUUGGGGUCAAUUGCAUCUCCAGCCAAAUACGGGACAUGCACUGGUGGUUCCUGGUUAUAUACUAGCUGAUAUGGAGACAUGCCGCUUGCGGAGUGAAAAUUGGUGUUAUACCACCAUUCGGCUAAGGGUAACCAUUUACUCCAUAAGUGCGGUCUUUGGCUAAUCAUGCAUCUCAAGAAGAAGUUUAUUAUUAGGAGAAAGAGACUUGCUUAUGAAUGCUAUGGGUUGCCGUUUCUGAAU
Molecule: long non-coding RNA, 350 nt
Organism: Impatiens glandulifera
Lineage: Eukaryota; Viridiplantae; Streptophyta; Magnoliopsida; Ericales; Balsaminaceae
Exons: 3
Source: RefSeq, a predicted model, not a curated record